GACGGAGGGCGCAAGCGUUGUUCGGAAUUACUGGGCGUAAAGCGCGGGCAGGCGGUCUGUUAAGUCGUUUGUGAAAAUCCGGGGCUCAACCCCGGAAAUGCGUACGAUACUGGCAGGCUGGAGACUGGUAGAGGCUAGCGGAAUUCCUGGUGUAGCGGUGGAAUGCGUAGAUAUCAGGAAGAACACCUGUGGCGAAGGCGGCUAGCUGGGCCAGUUCUGACGCUCAUACGCGAAAGCGUGGGGAGCAAACAGG
RNAcentral lists this ribosomal RNA (253 nucleotides) under uncultured bacterium. RNAcentral describes it as "partial 16S ribosomal RNA". It matches the Rfam family "Bacterial small subunit ribosomal RNA", at positions 524 to 776 of the family's 1533-position model. The record is from RNAcentral.